GGCGUGGCUGGGACACGCUGCUCUCUGUUGACACCCACCACUUUGCUGUGGCUCUGCUGGGCAGAGAAAUUUGCCAAUCAGACAUACACUUUUGUUCCGA
Haemorhous mexicanus (house finch) is the source of this 100-nucleotide long non-coding RNA. RefSeq lists it as uncharacterized. The transcript has 2 exons. The record is from RefSeq and is a predicted model, not a curated record. Lineage: Eukaryota; Metazoa; Chordata; Aves; Passeriformes; Fringillidae.